GGGAAGAUGGCUUAGUGGUAGAGUGCUUGCCUUAUAUGCAUGAGGCCUAGGGUCCAAUUCCUCAGCACCCCA
RNAcentral lists this transfer RNA (72 nucleotides) under Dipodomys ordii (Ord's kangaroo rat). It matches the Rfam family "tRNA". From Rfam's summary of the family: Transfer RNA (tRNA) molecules are approximately 80 nucleotides in length. Their secondary structure includes four short double-helical elements and three loops (D, anti-codon, and T loops). Lineage: Eukaryota; Metazoa; Chordata; Mammalia; Rodentia; Heteromyidae. The record is from Rfam by way of RNAcentral.